GGGAAGUCGGCGGUAGGCGCUCGUAUCGCCAACCCGGCCAGGGCCGAAAGGCAGCAACCGUAACGAAUUCGACGGGUUAUUGUCCGGCUUCCCACU
Molecule: signal recognition particle RNA, 96 nt
Filed under: Alphaproteobacteria bacterium
Lineage: Bacteria; Pseudomonadati; Pseudomonadota; Alphaproteobacteria
Description: signal recognition particle sRNA small type
Rfam family: Bacterial small signal recognition particle RNA
About the family: The signal recognition particle (SRP) is a universally conserved ribonucleoprotein involved in the co-translational targeting of proteins to membranes. Archaeal SRP consists of a 7S RNA and homologues of the eukaryotic SRP19 and SRP54 proteins.
Source: RNAcentral